Molecule: ribosomal RNA, 406 nt
Filed under: uncultured bacterium
Lineage: Bacteria
Description: partial 16S ribosomal RNA
Rfam family: Bacterial small subunit ribosomal RNA
Source: RNAcentral
AUUGAACGCUGGCGGGAGGCUUUACACAUGCAAGUCGAACGAGUGGCGGACGGGUGAGUAAUGUCUCGGAACGUGCCCGGUAGAGGGGGAUAACUACUCGAAAGGGUAGCUAAUACCGCAUACUCUCAGAGCUGCCGAUAUGGGAUUAGCUAGUUGGUGGGGUAAAGGCUCACCAAGGCGACGAUCCGUAGCUGGUUUGAGAGGAUGACCAGCCACACUGGAACGUAGACACGGCCCAGACUCCUACGGGAGGCAGCAGUGGGGAAUUUUGGACAAUGGGGGAAACCCUGAUCCAGCCAUGCCGCGUGUAUGAAGAAGGCCCUAGGGUUGUAAAGUACUUUCAGUCGGGAGGCGUUACCGACAGAAGAAGCACCGGCUAACUCCGUGCCAGCAGCCGCGGUAAUUC